UAUAGCUCAGUCAGUAGAGCACAAGAUUCUUAAUCUUAGGGUCGUGGGUUCAAGUCUCGCGUUGGGUGAAAG
Molecule: non-coding RNA, 72 nt
Organism: Podarcis lilfordi (Lilford's wall lizard)
Lineage: Eukaryota; Metazoa; Chordata; Lepidosauria; Squamata; Lacertidae
Source: the annotation of a GenBank genome assembly